RNAcentral lists this ribosomal RNA (243 nucleotides) under Triticum aestivum (bread wheat). Its description in RNAcentral is "partial small subunit ribosomal RNA". The record is from RNAcentral. Lineage: Eukaryota; Viridiplantae; Streptophyta; Magnoliopsida; Poales; Poaceae.
AUGCAUUGGGUGUCUUGGAAGGAGCUCGCAACGCCCAAGUGUAAAGGUGGAAUGGGUUUCAGAGACCCACAUAUAUUCAAUCUUGCCAUGUUGGGGAAGCACGGAUGGCGUUUUCUAACGAACCCUGAUUCCCUUUGUGCAAGAGUAUUGAAGGGACGGUAUUUUCCUGAUACGGAUUUUAUGCAUGCUGCCUUACCCAAGUCGGCUUCGGCCACUUGGAAAGCUAUUAUAGCAGGAAGAGAA